Molecule: long non-coding RNA, 833 nt
Organism: Capsicum annuum
Lineage: Eukaryota; Viridiplantae; Streptophyta; Magnoliopsida; Solanales; Solanaceae
Exons: 5
Source: RefSeq, a predicted model, not a curated record
ACCUGGCCCAAAUAAUAAUGAAAGCAAACAAAUUAAAAGCCGAAAAGAUCUAAUAAAAAUAAUAGGCACCUGAGAAAAAAAGGAAAGUGAAGAGACUUAGAAGUCUCUAAUCUUCCAUGUCGAAAUCCAAGGUCCAUGCUCCAUUUCCAUGGUGAAAUCAAACCACUGAGCUGAAAUUCGCUUCUCCUCGAUCUAUCACCUUAGAGACGCCAUUCAAAUCCACUAUGUCGAGAUGAGCUUCCUUGUCAAGCUUCACUAUCAGCUAACUCCCCUUGAUUCCUUGCUAUCUUGUGUUUCAUUUCCUAGAUGUACAAAUAUGCAAAUGCACGAUAUUUCAAGAUAUGUGGAUCUGUUCUGUGAAGACCAAGAUAUAUUAGACUUAAUUAGAUAUUGAAGAUACACUAAAGAAAUUCUUACAGGUUCGGACGCAUAGUUUCCCGACUGCUCUUAGACAGCUCAUUGUUACUCAACAACAAUAGUGGGUCUAAAGGCGCUUCUACUUUUCUUAUGCAGUGAUAGGUGAUCUCAGAGUUGGUCGUUUGAGGUAAAUUGGUGUCCUGGCUGGGUCUGCUGCUAUAGUGUUUUUCUCCAUUGUGUCACCUUCUUGGUUGUUGUGUUUGCCUCUUCAUCUGUCUCAUUGGGAACCUCUAUUUGGUGUACAUAACUUAUUACAUUUGUUGUCUUUUCUUGGUGAAAAGCAUUUAUCAUCCACUCUUUUGUGGACACUUUCUCAUUUUCUUUAUCCUUUUCCACUAUUACUAUUGGUGUAUUGUGCUUAUCUAUUGUAUCUUUAUGCCUAUAUGAUUUGAUAUUGCUUAUCUCUUUCUUUGUUC